UACAGAGGGUGCAAGCGUUAAUCGGAAUUACUGGGCGUAAAGCGCGCGUAGGCGGCUGUCUAAGUCGGGUGUGAAAGCCCCGGGCUCAACCUGGGAACUGCACUCGAUACUGGGCGGCUAGAGUAUGAAAGAGGGAGGUAGAAUUCCACGUGUAGCGGUGAAAUGCGUAGAUAUGUGGAGGAAUACCGGUGGCGAAGGCGGCCUCCUGGUUCAAUACUGACGCUGAGGUGCGAAAGCGUGGGGAGCAAACAGG
RNAcentral lists this unclassified non-coding RNA (253 nucleotides) under uncultured Gammaproteobacteria bacterium. RNAcentral describes it as "contains 16S-23S intergenic spacer region". It matches the Rfam family "Bacterial small subunit ribosomal RNA", at positions 524 to 776 of the family's 1533-position model. The record is from RNAcentral. Lineage: Bacteria; Pseudomonadati; Pseudomonadota; Gammaproteobacteria.